UAGCCAACCUGAGGCGGAUCGCUGUCGAGGGCAGCGUUGCCGACGCCGGAGCCCAGCAGAGCUGUCGUACUAGAAUUUCAAAAUUGGCCGAGUAAGCGCUGGAUCUUUUUUUUUGGGUUAUUUGGGACAUGUGUAGGUACCGUAGGCGCAGGCGCAUUUCGAUUCUGAGAAAAAAUUCAGGGAACCCAGGGAUCACCCGUAGACGCAGCGAUAAUCUAGUUUUCGGUGUCGAAUCAAGUA
This 240-nucleotide long non-coding RNA is filed under the name Carica papaya (papaya). RNAcentral's name for it is "long non-coding RNA (CPAP_LNC016370)". Lineage: Eukaryota; Viridiplantae; Streptophyta; Magnoliopsida; Brassicales; Caricaceae. The record is from RNAcentral.